GACAGAGGUGCCGAGCGUUAGGCGGAAUCACUGGGCUUAAAGCGUGUGUAGGCGGGCGGGCAAGUACCUUGUGAAAUCCCACGGCUCAACCGUGGAACUGCUGGGUAUACUGCCUGUCUUGAGCCAGCCAGGGGCAGUCGGAACAGACGGUGGAGCGGUGAAUGCGUAGAUAUCGUCUGGAACGCCAAAGGUGAAAACAGACUGCUGGGGCUGUGCUGACGCUGAGACACGAAGCCAGGGGAGCGAACGGG
RNAcentral lists this ribosomal RNA (251 nucleotides) under uncultured bacterium. RNAcentral describes it as "partial 16S ribosomal RNA". It matches the Rfam family "Bacterial small subunit ribosomal RNA", at positions 524 to 776 of the family's 1533-position model. The record is from RNAcentral.